RNAcentral lists this ribosomal RNA (238 nucleotides) under uncultured bacterium. RNAcentral's name for it is "partial 16S ribosomal RNA". It matches the Rfam family "Bacterial small subunit ribosomal RNA", at positions 96 to 334 of the family's 1533-position model. The record is from RNAcentral.
UGGCGAACGGGUGAGUAACGCGUGAGGAACCUACCUCAAAGAGGAGACAACAGUUGAAACGACUGCUAAUACCGCAUAAGCCCACGGGUCGGCAUCGACCUGAGGGAAAAGGAGCAAUCCGCUUUGAGAUGGCCUCGCGUCCGAUUAGCUAGUUGGUGAGGUAACGGCCCACCAAGGCGACGAUCGGUAGCCGGACUGAGAGGUUGAACGGCCACAUUGGGACUGAGACACGGCCCAG